GCCGGCGUGGCGGAACUGGCAGACGCGCACGACUCAAAAUCGUGUGGUGCUUGGCACCGUGUGGGUUCAAUUCCCUCCGCCGGCA
RNAcentral lists this transfer RNA (85 nucleotides) under Elusimicrobiota bacterium. Its description in RNAcentral is "Elusimicrobia bacterium (groundwater metagenome) tRNA-Leu". It matches the Rfam family "tRNA". Rfam says of the family: Transfer RNA (tRNA) molecules are approximately 80 nucleotides in length. Lineage: Bacteria; Pseudomonadati; Elusimicrobiota. The record is from RNAcentral.